ACAUGCAAGUCGAGGGGCAGCAUAAUGGAUAGCAAUAUCUAUGGUGGCGACCGGCGCACGGGUGCGUAACGCGUAUGCAACCUACCUUUAACAGGGGGAUAACACUGAGAAAUUGGUACUAAUACCCCAUAAUAUCAUAGAAGGCAUCUUUUAUGGUUGAAAAUUCCGAUGGUUAGAGAUGGGCAUGCGUUGUAUUAGCUAGUUGGUGGGGUAACGGCUCACCAAGGCGACGAUACAUAGGGGGACUGAGAGGUUAACCCCCCACACUGGUACUGAGACACGGACCAGACUCCUACGGGAGGCAGCAGUGAGGAAUAUUGGUCAAUGGACGCAAGUCUGAACCAGCCAUGCCGCGUGCAGGAUGACGGCUCUAUGAGUUGUAAACUGCUUUUGUACGAGGGUAAACGCAGAUACGUGUAUCUGUCUGAAAGUAUCGUACGAAUAAGGAUCGGCUAACUCCGUGCCAGCAGCCGCGGUAAUACGGAGGAUUCAAGCGUUAUCCGGAUUUAUUGGGUUUAAAGGGUGCGUAGGCGGUUUGAUAAGUUAGAGGUGAAAUUUCGGGGCUCAACCCUGAACGUGCCUCUAAUACUGUUGAGCUAGAGAGUAGUUGCGGUAGGCGGAAUGUAUGGUGUAGCGGUGAAAUGCUUAGAGAUCAUACAGAACACCGAUUGCGAAGGCAGCUUACCAA
RNAcentral lists this ribosomal RNA (688 nucleotides) under uncultured bacterium. RNAcentral's name for it is "bacterial SSU rRNA". It matches the Rfam family "Bacterial small subunit ribosomal RNA", at positions 53 to 732 of the family's 1533-position model. The record is from RNAcentral.